This is a long non-coding RNA of Rhagoletis zephyria (snowberry fruit fly), 487 nucleotides long. RefSeq lists it as uncharacterized. The record is from RefSeq and is a predicted model, not a curated record. Lineage: Eukaryota; Metazoa; Arthropoda; Insecta; Diptera; Tephritidae.
AUUUUUGCAUUAUAUACAAUAAAAUCUAUCAACACUUUAUCAAAUCAUUAGUAUUUAUUCUAUGUUAAUAAGCUAAAAGCAAAUUAAUUUGAAUAAACUUAAAACCAAUGAUCUUUUGAUAAAUAUUUUAAUUAUGUUAAUAGAUUACAAUGUCCUUAUAUGAAAAAAAUGCAUACUAUCACUAUAAUAUUAAUAAAAUUAAUACUACAGGUAUAAUAAUGAAUUUUUCAUAAUGGAUAUUCAGGUUCAUCGGGCUUAACCUCUAAGCAGUUUCACGUACUAUUUAACUCUCUAUUCAGAGUUCUUUUCAACUUUCCCUCACGGUACUUGUUUACUAUCGGUCUCAUGGUUAUAUUUAGUUUUAGAUGGAGUUUACCACCCACUUAGUGCUGCACUAUCAAGCAACACGACUCUUUGGAAAUAUCUUUCUAGUAAUCAUUAACGUUAUACGGGCCUGGCACCCUCUAUGGGUAAAUGGCCUCAUUUA